GACGAACCGUGCGAACGUUAUUCGGAAUCAUUGGGCUUAAAGCGCGUGUAGGCGGAUUCGUGCGUCUGUCGCUGAAAUCCCCCGGCUCAACCGGGGAACGGGCGCGGAUACGACGAGUCUGGAGGGGCAUAGGGGGACCUGGAACUUCCGGUGGAGCGGUGAAAUGCGUUGAUAUCAGAAGGAACGCCGGCGGCGAAAGCGGCGCACUGGACCUCUGCUGACGCUGAGGCGCGAAAGCCAGGGGAGCAAACGGG
RNAcentral lists this ribosomal RNA (254 nucleotides) under uncultured bacterium. RNAcentral describes it as "partial 16S ribosomal RNA". It matches the Rfam family "Bacterial small subunit ribosomal RNA", at positions 524 to 776 of the family's 1533-position model. The record is from RNAcentral.